GAAAAUUACUGGUGAGGGUUGUAGCUGGCCUUCCGGGGCAAAUGUGCACGCCCGAGCCUUUAAUCCACACACACCUGUGAACUCACUGUAAGGGCCCGUAACAAGGCCCCUACGUAUCAUCACCGACGCAUGUAUAACAGAAUGUAAAUCAAUGUCCUCGCCUUGAAACAGCGUUGAUAAACUUAAUACAACUUUCAACAACGGAUCUCUUGGCUCU
Molecule: unclassified non-coding RNA, 217 nt
Filed under: rhizosphere metagenome
Description: partial ribosomal RNA internal transcribed spacer region
Source: RNAcentral